RNAcentral lists this long non-coding RNA (445 nucleotides) under Olea europaea (common olive). RNAcentral's name for it is "long non-coding RNA (OEUR_LNC014310)". Lineage: Eukaryota; Viridiplantae; Streptophyta; Magnoliopsida; Lamiales; Oleaceae. The record is from RNAcentral.
GUCAUUGAAGUUGAGGUAAAAAUCUUUCAAAAAUCACCAAUCUGAAGAUAUAUUUUCACGCAUAAUAUGAGGGGGAAAAACUGAAAUUUACAAAGAAACUCAUAAAAUUUAAACUUACAUCUUCUUCUUCCAUCUAAUACAACUUGAAAUUUGAGGGUUUGGAUUUUAGGGAAUGAAAUUCCAAGGAAUGCUGCUGGCUGCUCUUCUACAGGAACGGGAAUAGGGCUUACUGCUUAGGACUGUGAAGGAGAAGGAUAAAUGGGAUUUUAAAUGAAGUUUGUGGACCGGGCAGUUUAUUAGUUGUUGGGUCAGCGGUUCAGUGAAAAAUCGGCUGCUCCUUUGGGUUUUUAGCGGUUCAGCAACAUAGCUAAAAAAUUAAGCAGCUCGGACUGGACCAUGGUCCGGUUCGACGGUUUUUGGGUCGAACCGGCCGGUCCGGUCCGGG